CUCUGUCUCUCACCUGUCUCUCUCCUGUCUGUCUGUUUCUCACCUGUCUGUCUGCCUGUCUGUCUGUACAGAAGCGAGCAGUGAAGGCAGAGCUGUGCGUCUCCAAACUGAAGUGGGAGCUGCAGCAGCUUCAGGUGGAGAACGAAGGUCUGAAGGCGGCGGAGUCGGAGGUCGUCAUGACGAUGAGACAGAACGCUCAGGUGGCGUCUGAUUACCUGAACAAGACGGCAAGCCACGCCCACUCCUCCAUACGGCAGCUGCUGGGGGGGGCGGAGACCCUCUCUCUGGUCGCUCAGCUGCUGGCCUCCAUCGAUAGAGUUUCCUCAGAGGACUCUCCUGGAUGAAUUACCAAAAUAAAAGACUUCCUACAGACGCUUUACUUUGAAGGUGAAGAUGACAUCACAGCAGCGAGGACUGCCGGAUGCUGAUUGGUCCGUUUGUUGGACUGAAGACACAGUUUUUAUAUUUAGCGUCAUGAUGGAUAACAUAUCACUGCUGCUUGAUGAAUCAGCAGGUCGUCUUCCUCCAGGGUCACGUGUGAGCUUAGCUUAGCAUUAGACAGCUUAUAUGCUGUAUCUUUCUAGAACCCCCUCCUCUCCUGUAGUUCUAUAGCUGUUAGUGCGUGUACAGGGUCUGCAAAGGCUAGAAUCCCUGUGUUCCCUCCAUUGGACUGAACUUUGUGACAUCACUGCGUAACACUCACGCUCCUAUUGGCUGUGUACAUGUACAGGGUUAUAUAUAUUUGACUAACGUAUGAAGCAGAGUUAGCGUAAAGCUUUAAACAUGUAAAUACGUGUACAGUAAUUAAAUACUAACAUGUUUUAUACCAUGUGUUAUGUUUUUGGUGACGUUGAAAUACUUCACAAUGGAUGAUUGUGCACAGCUGGGAGGGACUCUGGUUCUUUAAGACAUGCUUUGAUGUCCCUGAUGUCCCUGAUGUCCCUGAUGUCCCUGAUGUCCCUGAUGUCCUGUCGAGACAAUAAAAGACCAUCAGAAU
Notothenia coriiceps (black rockcod) is the source of this 997-nucleotide long non-coding RNA. RefSeq lists it as uncharacterized. The record is from RefSeq and is a predicted model, not a curated record. The transcript has 3 exons. Lineage: Eukaryota; Metazoa; Chordata; Actinopteri; Perciformes; Nototheniidae.